Small nuclear RNA from Suncus etruscus (white-toothed pygmy shrew), 156 nucleotides. RefSeq annotates it as U1 spliceosomal RNA. The record is from RefSeq and is a predicted model, not a curated record. Lineage: Eukaryota; Metazoa; Chordata; Mammalia; Eulipotyphla; Soricidae. The transcript has a single exon.
AUACUUAUCUGGCAGGGGAGGUGCCAUGAUCACUAAGGUGGUUUCUUCAGGGCAAGGCUCAUUCAUUGCACCAAGGAUAUAAUGACCCCUGAGAUUUCCCUAAAUGUGGGAAAAAGGACUGCAUAAUCUGUGGUAGGGAGAUACUGCAUUUUUCUG